GGAGAUGUAGCUCAGUAGGUAGAGAGCUUGGCCUGUCAGACACAAAGCUCUGAGUUCAAUCCCUAGCGACUCCU
RNAcentral lists this transfer RNA (74 nucleotides) under Rattus norvegicus (Norway rat). It matches the Rfam family "tRNA". Rfam says of the family: Transfer RNA (tRNA) molecules are approximately 80 nucleotides in length. Their secondary structure includes four short double-helical elements and three loops (D, anti-codon, and T loops). Further hydrogen bonds mediate the characteristic L-shaped molecular structure. tRNAs have two regions of fundamental functional importance: the anti-codon, which is responsible for specific mRNA codon recognition, and the 3' end, to which the tRNAs corresponding amino acid is attached (by aminoacyl-tRNA synthetases). tRNAs cope with the degeneracy of the genetic code in two manners: having more than one tRNA (with a specific anti-codon) for a particular amino acid; and 'wobble' base-pairing, i.e. permitting non-standard base-pairing at the 3rd anti-codon position. Lineage: Eukaryota; Metazoa; Chordata; Mammalia; Rodentia; Muridae. The record is from Rfam by way of RNAcentral.